RNAcentral lists this ribosomal RNA (730 nucleotides) under Rhaconotus bekilyensis. RNAcentral describes it as "partial large subunit ribosomal RNA". It matches the Rfam family "Eukaryotic large subunit ribosomal RNA", at positions 386 to 863 of the family's 3401-position model. The record is from RNAcentral. Lineage: Eukaryota; Metazoa; Arthropoda; Insecta; Hymenoptera; Braconidae.
GUUCAGAGUACGUGAAACCGUUCAGGGGUAAACCUGAGAAACCCAAAAGAUCGAAUGGGGAGAUUCAUCGUCAGCGCAUUUUGUAUAUGUAUAAGUUAUGAUGCGGGUUACUCUUGUAGUAUUGCCUGUACAUUCUUGUACAUUUUGUUGCAAGAUGUUGUCGGCGUGCACUUCUCCCCUAGUAGGACAUCGCGACCCGUUGGGUGUCGGUCUACGGCCCAAAUGGUAGCCUUUAAUGUUUCAAUACAUUGAAGACCUUUGGUGUUUCCUGACCGACUGCUUGGCGGUACUCGUACGGUAUUAAGCCGCAUAUUAAUUAUAUGCGUCCAUACCCGUCGCAAGCGAGAUUAAUUUUUGGUAGUACGGACUCAGUGCCGUCGCUGAAAUUAAUCAGCUGUUGGUUGUACGGUGUUCUAGGACUGGCUAAAAUUAUAUUACCGGUCGGCGAUGCUACUGCUUUGGGUACUUUCAGGACCCGUCUUGAAACACGGACCAAGGAGUCUAACAUGUGCGCGAGUCAUUGGGAUUUUUAAAAAAUUAAACCUAAAGGCGUAAUGAAAGUAAAGGUUGUCCUUGCGUCAACCGAGGGAGGAUGAGUUGUAUUAAAAAUACAGCUUCGCACUCCCGGGGCGUCUCAUUCUCAUUGCGAGAAGAGGCGCACCUAGAGCGUACACGUUGGGACCCGUACUCUUGUAGUAUUUGGUAGCGUUGGUUGUAUUUUUAAAAAAUU